This is an RNA transcript of Populus euphratica (Euphrates poplar), 3102 nucleotides long. It is a transcript of the gene named beta-amylase 7, with no coding region annotated. The record is from RefSeq and is a predicted model, not a curated record. Lineage: Eukaryota; Viridiplantae; Streptophyta; Magnoliopsida; Malpighiales; Salicaceae. The transcript has 12 exons.
UGUCAAACCAAAACACACACACACACACACACACACAAAACACGCUCGAGCCUCUCCACACGCGCGAAACCCAAACCCUCGCACGCAAACACACAUCUCCACACGCGCCGCCUUACUCUCCAUUUCACAUUCACCGUCCGCUACGUCCACUCGCCGGGAAAACCUCGAAUUUCUCUCUUUCUUGCGGAAAUCUGUUUUAAUUAGGCUUUGGAGAGUGACCGUGAAACGCACCGGAGGUUCUCCGGUGGUCGGCGAAGUUAGGGUUUCAAGAGAGUAGAUGGAUCUGUUGUUAUGAAGCAGAUACAAGGUGAGAAGGUUUGUGAAUUUGCUGGCGUGAAAGCUGGAAAAGUAAAAUUUGAGUUGGAAAUGGAGAAAUAGAGGGGAAUUUGAAGUGUUAGCACGCAAAAGGUGAAGUUUAUGCGGGAUUUUUACGCUGAAAUGUGCGGAAGACUGUUACAAGAAGAUAUAUGGAUACUCAAAGUGGAAAUGAUGGCCUGUCACCGUAGAAGUAUUCAAUGACUAAGUCCUAGACAUUUGGUUGUGGAAGAGAGAGAAUGGCAACGGAUAUCCAGAAAUUAAUGGGAACAAGUGAAGAAGAUGAUGAUGAAGAAAUGGACAUGGACGUUAAAGAGGAAGAUGAUGAAGAUGAAGAAAAUGGAGGGAAGAAUAUUGCUGCACAGAUUAUUGCAGGAGGGGGUGGAGGGAUGGCAUCAAACAAUAGUGAUAAUCAGUUUCAACAUCAACAGCAAUUUCAAGAGCAGGUUACCACUCCAGCAGGAGGAGCUCGGAGGUCUAGACCGCUUGAAGAAAAGGAGAGGACGAAGCUAAGAGAGCGACACCGGAGGGCAAUCACAGCAAGGAUCUUGGCUGGAUUAAGGAGGCAUGGGAAUUACAAUCUUAGAGUUAGAGCUGAUAUAAAUGAUGUAAUUGCAGCUUUGGCUAGGGAAGCUGGCUGGGUUGUUCUUCCAGAUGGAACUACCUUCCCUUCAAGAUCUCAGCAGGGCUCAAGGCCUGCGGGUGGCACUUCUGCUGCAGUAACAUCAUCUUCUUCUCAUCUGGUGUCACAACAGACUCCACCGGCUUCCCUUAGAGGAGUCUCUCCUGGUUAUCAGACCUCAGUUGAGUACAAUACAUGCCGUAUGAAAGGUGUUUUUAUGCCCAACCCCUCACCUUAUGAUCUAUCAGCAAGCACUCAGCCACAGAUCCCAGCAGUGGUGGGGGAGGGAGGAGAGCAAACAGAGAGCAGUCUCCAUAUUGGUGGCUCCAUGGACAUCAUAAAUGACAAGCAGAUUAUUGACAUACCUCCAAUUCCAAAGCUACCAGAGCGGGAUUUUGCUGGCACUUCAUUCAUACCAGUUUAUGUGAUGUUACCAUUGGGUGUCAUAAAUAUGAAAUGUGAGCUGGUUGAUCCAGAUGACCUACUGAAGCAGCUCAAGGUCUUGAAAUCUGCCAAUGUUGAUGGCAUUAUGGUGGACUGCUGGUGGGGCAUAGUAGAGGCUCACACCCCUCAGGAGUAUAACUGGAGUGGGUAUGGUAGGCUCUUCCAGAUGGUGCGUGAACUUAAGCUUAAGUUACAGGUUGUGAUGUCAUUUCAUGAAUGUGGAGGCAAUGUUGGUGAUGAUGUAUGUAUUCCCCUGCCACACUGGGUGGCAGAAAUUGGACGAAGUAAUCCUGACAUUUUCUUCACUGAUAGAGAAGGCAGGCGCAACCCAGAAUGUCUUUCAUGGGGAAUUGACAAAGAACGAGUGUUAAGAGGCCGUACUGCUGUUGAGGUGUACUUUGACUACAUGAGAAGCUUCCGAGCAGAAUUUGAUGAAUUUUUUGCUGAUGGUAUCAUCUCUAUGGUUGAAGUUGGACUUGGUCCUUGUGGGGAGCUACGGUACCCAUCUUGUCCAGUGAAGCAUGGCUGGAGAUAUCCUGGCAUUGGUGAAUUUCAGUGUUAUGAUCAGUAUUUGCUGAAAAGCUUAAAGAAGACAGCAGAAGCAAGGAGACAUCCUUUCUGGGCUAGGGGACCAGAUAAUGCUGGUUUCUACAAUUCCCAGCCACAUGAAACUGGUUUCUUCUGUGAUGGAGGGGACUAUGAUGGGUAUUAUGGCAGGUUCUUCCUUAAUUGGUAUACUAGGAUCUUAGUUGAUCAUGGUGAUCGGGUACUUUCUUUGGCAAAGUUAGCUUUCGAAGGCACUCAAAUUGCUGUGAAGCUAUCAGGUAUUCAUUGGUGGUACAAGACAGCCAGUCAUGCUGCUGAAUUAACUGCUGGGUUCUACAACCCAUGCAAUCGUGAUGGCUAUGCUGCAAUUUCAGCAAUGCUAAAGAAGCAUAAAGCUGCAUUAAACUUCUCGUGUUCUGAAUUGCGGAUGGUAGACCAGCAAGUGGACUUUGCAGAGGCACUUGCAGAUCCUGAGGGAUUAGUAUGGCAAGUGCUGAAUGCUGCUUGGGAAGUUGGCAUUCCAAUUGCUAGCGAGAACGCUCUUCCAUGCCAUGAUAGGGUCACAUAUAAUAAGAUUCUGGAUAAAGCCAAACCAUCGAAUGAUCCAGAUGGAAGGCAUUUUUUGUCUUUUACUCACCUCAGGCUCAGCCCACUUCUAAUGGAGAGACAAACCUUCAUGGAAUUUGAACGCUUUGUCAAGAGAAUGCAUGGAAGCUAAUAACUGAGGGAAGGGGGUGAAAAUAGAGGGUGACUGAUUUCUUUAUCUAAAGGUUCUGGAUGCUUCAAUGCUUGCCAGAAUCCGAGGAAUAACAAAUUUGGUGCUACCAGCAUGAGUUUCACUGAUUUAGGGGAGGCAGUUGUCGAACUCAAGGUAUAGCAGGAGGAGGAAGGGCAUCCAGAUUUGAGUAGCAUUUGUUUUUCUCCCACAUAACAGAUGGGGGUUUACCGUAAUGUACAUCAGUGGAGUAGUAGUUUUUAUAUGAUAACUAGGGAAUAGUAUCGAAAUAGUUCUAACACCUCUGUAAAUGAAAUCUCAAACUCAAAACAGUCAGGUUCUCCGCUACCGCUAGAUUCGAGCUUCCUUUUAUGCUUGUGUUGGAAACUUUCUGGAUGGACAAAACUGAAACUUCUGGUGUGCAGUUCAGAAGCUUGAAAUUAUUAAUUCAUUAGCUGUA